CCCAGAUGACUGGGCCGUCUGGGCGCCAGGCGGCCCAGUCAACUGGGCGCCCAGGCGACCCAGUUGACUGGGUCGUCUGGGUUGACUGGCCCAGACGGCCCAGUCGACCCAGACGGCCCAGUCAACUGGCGCCCAGACGGCCCAGACGACCCAGUCAACUGGGCCGUCUGGGUGAGUCUGGGUCAUCUGGGCAUGCCUAAUCGGUCCAGUCAGCUGGGCUUACGUCUCCUUUGUGGAGAUCGCCGGAAAACUCCAUUUUCUGCGAUCUCUACUCCAUUUUCCUCCUCCCAAACUAUUAUCCUUUCCCAAAAAUCAUGCAUUUUUCCAAAAAUCAACACAUGUAUAUAAAAUCAUGUUUUUUUUUUCCAAAAAUCAACAUAAAAACUUUAAAUAUGGGUCGUCUAUUUUUCCUUUUUUAUCAGUGCUACAGUAAUUUUUCUCUUUCCUUACUAUCUUCUCUUUCUUCUUUAAAUAGUAAGGGUAAAUUUGGAUUUCUCUUGAUUUUCAAUAUUUUAAACAUUUUGCUUUUUUUUUUUUUUUAAUUGGUCAAAGGCCUCUUUGGAAAACUGGCCGGGUCAACCGGCUGUUGGCCACUAAUUCCUCAGGUUGAGGUACCAACCAAAUUCA
This 627-nucleotide long non-coding RNA is filed under the name Olea europaea subsp. europaea. Lineage: Eukaryota; Viridiplantae; Streptophyta; Magnoliopsida; Lamiales; Oleaceae. The record is from RNAcentral.